AGAGUUUGAUCAUGGCUCAGGACGAACGCUGGCGGCGUGCUUAACACAUGCAAGUCGAACGGAAAGUGCCCUUUGGGGUGACUCGAGUGGCGAACGGGUGAGUAACACGUGGGUGAUCUGCCCUGCACUUCGGGAUAAGCUUGGGAAACUGGGUCUAAUACCGGAUAGGACCAUGGGAUGCAUGUCUUGUGGUGGAAAGUUUUUGCGGUGUGGGAUGGGCCCGCGGCCUAUCAGCUUGUUGGUGGGGUGAUGGCCUACCAAGGCGACGACGGGUAGCCGGCCUGAGAGGGUGUCCGGCCACACUGGGACUGAGAUACGGCCCAGACUCCUACGGGAGGCAGCAGUGGGGAAUAUUGCACAAUGGGCGCAAGCCUGAUGCAGCGACGCCGCGUGGGGGAUGACGGCCUUCGGGUUGUAAACCUCUUUCACUCAUGACGAAGCGUAAGUGACGGUAAUGGGAGAAGAAGCACCGGCCAACUACGUGCCAGCAGCCGCGGUA
RNAcentral lists this ribosomal RNA (499 nucleotides) under uncultured Actinomycetes bacterium. RNAcentral describes it as "bacterial SSU rRNA". It matches the Rfam family "Bacterial small subunit ribosomal RNA", at positions 8 to 522 of the family's 1533-position model. The record is from RNAcentral. Lineage: Bacteria; Bacillati; Actinomycetota; Actinomycetes.